RNAcentral lists this long non-coding RNA (323 nucleotides) under Vigna radiata. Its description in RNAcentral is "long non-coding RNA (VRAD_LNC007851)". The record is from RNAcentral. Lineage: Eukaryota; Viridiplantae; Streptophyta; Magnoliopsida; Fabales; Fabaceae.
GGGAUUCAAGUGCAGAACACCUCAAACCGCCCAGCUUUAAAAAGCUUGGGCUGGGGUAUCCGCCGCCACUGCCCGGCGGUGAGCGGUAGCUUCUCACCUCUCUUCUUUGCUUGCCUUUGCGCAAUUCCUCCCUGUAGCACCUGAUGUUUGCCUUCAAUUUUUCAUUUACAUGUCUUUCCCCUCUCAAAUGUACAUGCAAACCUAUAAUGCACUAAAGACAGAGUUUAAAAACAAAUAAACAAUCAACUGGGUUGCCUCCCAGGUAGCGCUUGUUUAACGUCACGAGCUUGACCCAAACCUGUUUAGCACUCAUCAGUAAGUGC